UUCACUUUAUUAUACGAACCAACCACGCAAGCACACUACAUUAUUAUUAAUCUUAAUGAUGAGUCAACAAAAUAAAAAUAAAAACUCAUCUCCCUUCAAGCUCUUCACUCCCUCUCUUCCCUUCCUGCAAAUCUCAUCUCCCUUAAUCCCUAAACCCCAAUUUCUCUACUCAAUCCAUUUAAACCCAAAAGAAAACAUCAAACGAGAGUAUAAACGGCAGUAUGAAUUAAUCAUCAUCAGUUCAUCAACGAUUCUUGCUCAUCUGAAUUCAACACACAAGCACAGAGCUCUAAACUCAGAAUUGCAGAUUUGAAGAACUAGAAUCAAACCCAGAACAAAACAUCAGAUUGAGAGUAUAAAAGGAAGUAUGAUUAAUCAUUCAUCAGUUCUUCAACGAUUCUUUCUCAUUUGAAUUCAACAGGAAAGCAAGGAGCUUUGAAACUCAGAAUUGCAGAACUGAAGACCUACUAAAGCAAACACAGAACAAAACAGCAGAGUAUGGAGUAUGAACGGCAUUACGGCAGUAUGAAUUAAUCAUAAUCAUCAGUUUCAUCAACGAUCAAUUUAUUCUACAGAAAUAGUAAACACCAUGAGAGUUAACAAUCACUAUUAGCCGAUUCUUCCUCAUCUCCCUAUUCUGGGCGCAAAAGAAUUAGUUCUUUCAAAACUAGAUUGCAAAAAGGUCAAUAACCAUCCUAACCAGCUACUUCGAAGAAGCCUCCUCCUCCACUGCCACAAUAGCAACUCCUUCCGAUGAUCCCUCCUCCGCCGCCGCCGUCGAAGCCGCAGCCUUCCGCUGCUCCUCUUCCUCCUGAAUUUCCUUCAUCGCCUGCUCCUCCAUACUCUUCUCCGCCCUCAAGAUCGGCUCGUAGUAAUCAGGGUUCGCGUCGAGGUACAAUUUCAGGGAGAUGGGAUUUGCAGGAAGGGUAGAGAGGGAGAGAAGAGCUCGAAGGGAGAUGGCUCGUACUAAAAUUAAUAAUGAUGUAGGCUGAAUUGCGUGAUAAAAUGGACGGAAUAAAACGAAAAAUACUAAUGAUGAGUUGGAAAAUUUUUGAUUCAAACCAAAAUGAUAAAAAAUACGACCUUAAGAUAAUAAUAAAAAAGUUAAACUUGAAGGACUUUAGCCCCAACUAAUUCACCGGCGAGACUCUCUGCUCCGUCGUGCUUUCCUCCGCGAGCAUCCCAUCGGCAAAUCAUCGCUAUUCCGUCACGCAGCAAUC
RNAcentral lists this long non-coding RNA (1220 nucleotides) under Linum usitatissimum (flax). Its description in RNAcentral is "long non-coding RNA (LUSI_LNC005434)". Lineage: Eukaryota; Viridiplantae; Streptophyta; Magnoliopsida; Malpighiales; Linaceae. The record is from RNAcentral.